GAUGAACGCUGGCGGCGUGCCUAAUACAUGCAAGUCGAGCGAACAGACGAGGAGCUUGCUCCUCUGACGUUAGCGGCGGACGGGUGAGUAACACGUGGAUAACCUACCUAUAAGACUGGGAUAACUUCGGGAAACCGGAGCUAAUACCGGAUAAUAUAUUGAACCGCAUGUUUCAUUAGUGACAGACGGUUUUGCUGUCACUUAUAGAUGGAUCCGCGCCGCAUUAGCUAGUUGGUAAGGUAACGCCUUACCAAGGCAACGAUGCGUAGCCGACCUGAGAGGAUGAUCGGCCACACUGGAACUGAGACACGGUCCAGACUCCUACGGGAGGCAGCAGUAGGGAAUCUUCCGCAAUGGGCGAAAGCCUGACGGAGCAACGCCGCGUGAGUGAUGAAGGUCUUCGGAUCGUAAAACUCUGUUAUUAGGGAAGAACAAAUGUGUAAGUAACUAUGCACGUCUUGACGGUACCUAAUCAGAAAGCCACGGCUAACUACGUG
Molecule: ribosomal RNA, 497 nt
Filed under: uncultured bacterium
Lineage: Bacteria
Description: partial 16S ribosomal RNA
Rfam family: Bacterial small subunit ribosomal RNA
Source: RNAcentral